This 584-nucleotide ribosomal RNA is filed under the name uncultured bacterium. RNAcentral's name for it is "bacterial SSU rRNA". It matches the Rfam family "Bacterial small subunit ribosomal RNA", at positions 338 to 916 of the family's 1533-position model. The record is from RNAcentral.
CCUACGGGAGGCAGCAGUGGGGAAUAUUGCGCAAUGGGCGAAAGCCUGACGCAGCGACGCCGCGUGGGUGAUGAAGGCCUUCGGGUCGUAAAGCCCUGUCGGGAGGGAAGAAACAGUCCGGACCUAAUACGUCCGGAAAUUGACGGUACCUCCUAAGGAAGCACCGGCUAACUCCGUGCCAGCAGCCGCGGUAAUACGAAGGUGGCAAGCGUUGUUCGGAUUCACUGGGCGUACAGGGAGCGUAGGCGGUUGGGUAAGCCCUUCGUGAAAUCUCCGGGCCUAACCCGGAAAGUGCGGAGGGGACUGCUCAGCUAGAGGAUGGGAGAGGAGCGCGGAAUUCCCGGUGUAGCGGUGAGAUGCGUAGAGAUCGGGAGGAAGGCCGGUGGCGAAGGCGGCGCUCUGGAACAUUUCUGACGCUGAGGCUCGAAAGCGUGGGGAGCAAACAGGAUUAGAUACCCUGGUAGUCCACGCCUUAAACGAUGGAUACUAAGUGUCGGCGGGUUACCGCCGGUGCCGCAGCUAACGCAGUAAGUAUCCCGCCUGGGAAGUACGGCCGCAAGGUUAAAACUCAAAGGAAUUGACGG